RNAcentral lists this ribosomal RNA (406 nucleotides) under uncultured bacterium. RNAcentral's name for it is "partial 16S ribosomal RNA". It matches the Rfam family "Bacterial small subunit ribosomal RNA", at positions 28 to 526 of the family's 1533-position model. The record is from RNAcentral.
GAUUAACGCUGGCGGCGUGCAUAACACAUGCAAGUCGAACGAAGUGGCGGACGGGUGAGUAACGCGUGAGUAACCUGCCUUAGAGAUGGGGAUAGCCUCUGGAAACGGAGAAUAAUACCCAAUGCUCUAAGAUGGGCUUGCGUCUGAUUAGCGAGUUGGUGAGAUAAUAGCUCACCAAGGCACCGUUCAGUAGCCGGCUUGGGAGCGUGUACGGCAACAGUGAGACUGGGAGCCGGCCCAGACUCUACGGGAGGCAGCAGUGGGGAAGUUUGCACAAUGGGUGAAACCCUGAUGCAGCGACGCCGCGUGAUUUAGAAGGCCUUCGGGUUGUAAAAAGCUUUUGUAUAGGAAGCAGUACUAUACGAAUAAGGACCGGCUAAUUACGUGCCAGCCGCCGCGGUAAUAC